Molecule: long non-coding RNA, 368 nt
Organism: Prionailurus viverrinus (fishing cat)
Lineage: Eukaryota; Metazoa; Chordata; Mammalia; Carnivora; Felidae
Exons: 3
Source: RefSeq, a predicted model, not a curated record
GCAGCUCGGUCCCUUCGCACUGCUUGGGGUGGCUUCAGCCUCCGGACAACUGCGUUGAUUCCCAGGUGGAACUGGAACAGGGGGGAAGCAGGAAAGAGAGAAAGAAAGGUGCACAGUCAAGCAACACGUCUUCGUGCGUAUCGCUCAAUGGCAUUACGUGCGUUCACACUGUGGCGCAAUCCUUACCACUGUUCAUCUCCAGAACUUUUUUCACCUUGCAAAAUGAAACUUCACACCCAUAAAGCAACAAUUCCCCGCCAGCAUCUGCCUUCCUUUUCAAUCCAGACCGGCCACAGUGACAAUGGAAACAUGUCUCUAUUUCUUCCUCAGUGGGGGAAGAGAACAUCUCCUUGUGAAGAUAGUUUCAU